This 78-nucleotide small RNA is filed under the name Klebsiella aerogenes. RNAcentral's name for it is "RtT sRNA". It matches the Rfam family "RtT RNA", at positions 24 to 99 of the family's 130-position model. From Rfam's summary of the family: This family represents a bacterial cis-regulatory element known as RtT RNA. Lineage: Bacteria; Pseudomonadati; Pseudomonadota; Gammaproteobacteria; Enterobacterales; Enterobacteriaceae. The record is from RNAcentral.
GAGAAGCUUCGACUAAGGUUCGACUCGAGCGUCAGCGAGAGAACGUUGCCGCAGGCAACGGCCCGAAGGGCGAGGCGC